Molecule: long non-coding RNA, 730 nt
Organism: Cyprinus carpio (common carp)
Lineage: Eukaryota; Metazoa; Chordata; Actinopteri; Cypriniformes; Cyprinidae
Source: Ensembl
UAUUUUUAUUUUUUUGUCAUUCUGAUUUGUGCUUUUGUCAGUUUUUGCUAUUUAUAAAUAUUAUUAUUUGGGUUUAAUUUUUGUAUUUUUUAUUUCAGUUUUAGCUUAUAAUUUUAGUGCUUCUACUUAAACUUUUUUCAGUUCAUUUCCAAGUCAACAUUUCCAAUUUAUUUUUUAUUUAUUUUUUAUUUCAGUUGACAAAGCUGUUUUUAAUCAUUAUUAGGUUUAGUUAAUGAACCCUGCCUCUUGUUAUCUACCAGACUUCUAUAGAGACACUUUGACCUCACAAUCAGUUGUUAUUGCAUGAAUCCAGUGCGAGCUACAUCUGUGUCCUCUGGUUUGAUUGAUGCAGUGUGACUGUGUGUGUGUUCCAGCAGGAGGCGCUGUAUUCCUGUAACACACUGCGAGAGGAUCGUCCAGCAGGACCACAGGUGCACCUCAGGUCUUUCCAGCUGUGAUGCGGCGGUGACUGCAGUGAUGUUUGUGUGUAUUUGGUUGAUAAAAGCAGCGUUUUGUGAUGGUUUGGUGACCUCACCCUCUGCAGACAAACACUGCGGCCGUCAAACGGACGUCUGAUCGAUGCACGGGAGAAAAGAGAGAAACAUGAUGAUGAGUGGAUCUCACGAAAACACGUCCAAGACACAGCUCACCCUGAAAUCAAAAAGAAAAAAGAACUGAAUAAGAACUUACAGUUUGUAUGAAGAACAUUCUGCCUAUUUUUAGGAAGAUU